RNAcentral lists this ribosomal RNA (253 nucleotides) under uncultured bacterium. RNAcentral describes it as "partial 16S ribosomal RNA". It matches the Rfam family "Bacterial small subunit ribosomal RNA", at positions 524 to 776 of the family's 1533-position model. The record is from RNAcentral.
GACGAGGGAUCCUAGCGUUGCUCGGAAUUAUUGGGCGUAAAGCGGGUGUAGGUGGCUUGGUAAGUCGGCUGUGAAAGUCCAGGGCUCAACCCUGGGAUGCCGGUCGAUACUGCCGGACUAGAGUUCGGAAGAGGCGAGUGGAAUUCCUGGUGUAGCGGUGAAAUGCGCAGAUAUCAGGAGGAACACCGGUGGCGAAGGCGGCAUCCUGGACCGACACUGACACUGAGGAGCGAAAGCCAGGGGAGCAAACGGG